Long non-coding RNA from Vicia villosa (hairy vetch), 1035 nucleotides. RefSeq lists it as uncharacterized. The record is from RefSeq and is a predicted model, not a curated record. NCBI's taxonomy places the organism in Eukaryota, Viridiplantae, Streptophyta, Magnoliopsida, Fabales, Fabaceae. The transcript has 5 exons.
GAUUUGCACGAAGUUGAAAAACAAAUCAUGGAGUUUAUGGCUUAUGGCUCCAAUCGAUUCUCUCGCAUCUUCUCCGCUUUGACGUACCAUAAUUUCCCCAAAUUCUAACCAUCUUCUUCAAUCGAUCCCUUUUCUGCUUUUUUUCAAAUGCCGCAAAAAUUCCUCUAUUCUCCUCCAUAACAAUACAAAUCUCCAUCUUUCUCAAAUUCAUCUGCAUAACUGCAUCACAAUAUGAAUCAAACAAUAAAAAAAUGGAAGAUAAUAUAGUACCAAUUGGAAUCGUGCAGUGGAGCGGCGGCCGUAGUCAGAAAAGGGUGGUCCGCGGUUUCGUUCGAUUUCGGCGACUGGUAAUUUAUUUUUAAAUUAGCCCCAAAAUUUUAUAUCAUAUGUUCCGUUGAAUUUGUAACUAAUAUACUUUCAUUUCGUAGGCAAACUUUUAAUAGUGGCGCUGUUAUUGAGAAGUUAAGUUUGCUCGUGAAGAAAUCGUCGAAUGCUGAUGAUUGUGAAGAUGGGAAUCCAUCAAUCAAUUAGAGGAGAAGUUUGGGAAUUUCUACUCAGUUGCUAUGAUGCCAAGAGUACAUUUGAGGAAAGAGAGGAGAUAAGGCAGCGUCGAAGGGUGAAAUAUGCUGAAUGGAAGGAAGAAUGUCGUCAAUUAUUUUCGCUCAUGGGAAGUGGUAGAUUUAUCACAACACCUGUAGUUACUGACGAUGGUCAACCGAUUCAAGAUCCAAUUGUAUCGAGCGUCUACUGCGCAAAUUAAUGAAUAGUAGUCAUCCAAAUGAAAAAGUCGAUUCAGAUUACAAAGCCUUCCCGAUCAUGUGUGAAUGUGGACGAGCUGGUAGAGAUGGCCAGCCUACUUCCUGUGUAUUAUAUUAUAACUACAGUGACUAUGCUAGUACUGAUUACGACACUACUACUUGAAUAUAAAUUUGUAUCUUUUUUUGGAAACAAAUAUAUCAUUCUUAUCACUUGCCAGCAUCAUAUAAAGUAUGUUAACAAUUGCAGGAAAUUACUGAGGGCUUACUCUAAAUGCCA